CGCGUAGGCGGCGCUGGAAGUCAGGCGUGAAAGCCCCGGGCUCAACCUGGGAGGUGCGCUUGGGACUCUGGUGCUGGAGUUCGGGAGAGGAGCGUGGAAUUCCCAGUGUAGAGGUGAAAUUCGUAGAUAUUGGGAAGAACACCGGUGGCGAAGGCGGCGCUCUGGACCGAUACUGACGCUGAGGCGCGAAAGCGUGGGGAGCAAACAGGAUUAGAUACCCUGGUAGUCCACGCUGUAAACGAUGUGUGCUAGACGUUGGGGAGCCUAGCUCUUCGGUGUCGCCGCAAACGCUUUAAGCACACCGCCUGGGGAGUACGGCCGCAAGGUUAAA
Molecule: ribosomal RNA, 331 nt
Filed under: uncultured bacterium
Lineage: Bacteria
Description: bacterial SSU rRNA
Rfam family: Bacterial small subunit ribosomal RNA
Source: RNAcentral